CAGUAGCCGCGGGAAUACAAAGGGGGCUAGCGUUGCUCGGAAUCACUGGGCGUAAAGCGCACGUAGGCAGAUCGUUAGGUCAGGGGUGAAAGCCUGGAGCUCAACUCCAGAACUGCCUUUGAUACUGGCGAUCUCGAGUCCGGAAGAGGUGAGUGGAACUGCGAGUGUAGAGGUGAAAUUCGUAGAUAUUCGCAAGAACACCAGUGGCGAAGGCGGCUCACUGGUCCGGUACUGACGCUGAGGUGCGAAAGCGUGGGGAGCAAACAGGAUUAGAGACCCCUGUAGUCCCUGUCUCUUAUAC
This 301-nucleotide ribosomal RNA is filed under the name uncultured bacterium. Its description in RNAcentral is "partial 16S ribosomal RNA". It matches the Rfam family "Bacterial small subunit ribosomal RNA", at positions 509 to 807 of the family's 1533-position model. The record is from RNAcentral.